UUAGAGGAAAUUAGGCCCAGCACUAUAAAAGGCCAAAAUAAUCUCAAUGAUACGGACCGGAUAAUUUAUUUGCCAAAAUACAUUAUACUUUUUAUUUCUUUCCUCUUUACGAUUAUGUUUUACAUUACGGUUUUUCCUUUGAAAUCUUCUAAAUUCUCUCCCAUCUUCCGUUUAUUCUCCAAAGUUGUCUUCUAGCUGUGCCGUCUCAAACACCGCUGCAUUAUAAGUACGGCAACCGGAGCUCAGAUAUAGAGAGCCCCCAACAACCACCUCAGGCUCAAUCUAGAAAGGCAUCUCUCAGCUCAAUCAUUGGUCCCUGGCUCAAGCAAUCAGGUUUGGCUGUAAAUUAGAUUGUGCGGGUCGGAGCUCUUAGGUGGCCGGCCUAUUCAAUCUUUCUCCUCCUCAACGGGAGUUGAAAGAAUGUUUGUGGCCGGGUACUUCAUUUAAUUUUUGUAAAUUUUAAUGGGUUGUGAUUUGUUUUGAUGUUGUGUUUUUAAUUGAAGUCAAUUGAUCAGUUUAUUGGGAUUUUACUUUUUCAAUCUGUUCAAUUUUUCCCGGUUCAGUAUAAUGAUCUUAGAGACACUUGUUUUUUCCAGUAGGUUCAGUAGAAAAUCAAUUGUAGCAUUUACUAGUUGAUAGUCUGUCAAUUAAUGGCAAGAGUUAGGGAUAUAAUUGAAGAUUUUAAAGAUGAAGUUAGGCACACUACUGUUUUAUUGGGAUACAAUGAGCUGAAUGAUAGCAAUGCCAGGUACCGAGACCAACCGACGGCAUCUUAGCUCCGGUCUUCAAUUCGAAGAAAACUUGGGCGUGUGCUUCUCGUUGACGAGGAGGAGACGUAGGCCGCGAAUGAGCCAUUGAUUUUCUAGUGUUAUUUUCUUUUCUUGUUUUCUUUGCUUGAGAUGAGAAGCAUGGCAAACAACUCAUUCUUCAACUAUUGCAUUGUAUCUUAUUCUUUACAAGUAACUUUUUGAUUCCACCGAUUCAAUUCUUUUGUUUUUGGUAUUGGUGAUUUGUUCGGUGGCUUUAGGGUGGUGAUUUUAUCAAUAUGAUUAAUGAUUUUGCUA
Molecule: long non-coding RNA, 1064 nt
Organism: Mercurialis annua (annual mercury)
Lineage: Eukaryota; Viridiplantae; Streptophyta; Magnoliopsida; Malpighiales; Euphorbiaceae
Exons: 2
Source: RefSeq, a predicted model, not a curated record